GACGAACGCUGGCGGCGUGCUUAACACAUGCAAGUCGAACGGAAAGGCCCUGCUUUUGUGGGGUGCUCGAGUGGCGAACGGGUGAGUAACACGUGAGUAACCUGCCCUUGACUUUGGGAUAACUUCAGGAAACUGGGGCUAAUACCGGAUAGGAGCUCCUGCUGCAUGGUGGGGGUUGGAAAGUUUCGGCGGUUGGGGAUGGACUCGCGGCUUAUCAGCUUGUUGGUGGGGUAGUGGCUUACCAAGGCUUUGACGGGUAGCCGGCCUGAGAGGGUGACCGGCCACAUUGGGACUGAGAUACGGCCCAGACUCCUACGGGAGGCAGCAGUGGGGAAUAUUGCACAAUGGGCGGAAGCCUGAUGCAGCAACGCCGCGUGCGGGAUGACGGCCUUCGGGUUGUAAACCGCUUUCGCCUGUGACGAAGCGUGAGUGACGGUAAUGGGUAAAGAAGCACCGGCUAACUACGUGCCAGCAGCCGCGGUGAUACGUAGGGUGCGAGCGUUGUCCGGAUUUAUUGGGCGUAAAGGGCUCGUAGGUGGUUGAUCGCGUCGGAAGUGUAAUCUUGGGGCUUAACCCUGAGCGUGCUUUCGAUACGGGUUGACUUGAGGAAGGUAGGGGAGAAUGGAAUUCCUGGUGGAGCGGUGGAAUGCGCAGAUAUCAGGAGGAACACCAGUGGCGAAGGCGGUUCUCUGGGCCUUUCCUGACGCUGAGGAGCGAAAGCGUGGGGAGCGAACAGGCUUAGAUACCCUGGUAGUCCACGCUGUAAACGGUGGGUACUAGGUGUGGGGUCCAUUCCACGGGUUCCGUGCCGUAGCUAACGCUUUAAGUACCCCGCCUGGGGAGUACGGCCGCAAGGCUAAAACUCAAAGGAAUUGACGGGGCCCCGCACAAGCGGCGGAGCAUGCGGAUUAAUUCGAUGCAACGCGUAGAACCUUACCUGGGUUUGACAUGGAUCGGGAGUGCUCAGAGAUGGGUGUGCCUCUUUUGGGGUCGGUUCACAGGUGGUGCAUGGCUGUCGUCAGCUCGUGUCGUGAGAUGUUGGGUUAAGUCCCGCAACGAGCGCAACCCUUGUUCACUGUUGCCAGCACGUUAUGGUGGGGACUCAGUGGAGACCGCCGGGGUCAACUCGGAGGAAGGUGGGGAUGACGUCAAGUCAUCAUGCCCCUUAUGUCCAGGGCUUCACGCAUGCUACAAUGGCUGGUACAGAGAGUGGCGAGCCUGUGAGGGUGAGCGAAUCUCGGAAAGUCGGUCUCAGUUCGGAUUGGGGUCUGCAACUCGACCUCAUGAAGUCGGAGUCGCUAGUAAUCGCAGAUCAGCAACGCCGCGGUGAAUACGUUCCCGGGGCUU
This 1347-nucleotide ribosomal RNA is filed under the name uncultured bacterium. RNAcentral describes it as "partial 16S ribosomal RNA". It matches the Rfam family "Bacterial small subunit ribosomal RNA", at positions 28 to 1382 of the family's 1533-position model. The record is from RNAcentral.